This 71-nucleotide transfer RNA is filed under the name bacterium. Its description in RNAcentral is "tRNA-Gln". It matches the Rfam family "tRNA". Rfam says of the family: Transfer RNA (tRNA) molecules are approximately 80 nucleotides in length. Their secondary structure includes four short double-helical elements and three loops (D, anti-codon, and T loops). Further hydrogen bonds mediate the characteristic L-shaped molecular structure. tRNAs have two regions of fundamental functional importance: the anti-codon, which is responsible for specific mRNA codon recognition, and the 3' end, to which the tRNAs corresponding amino acid is attached (by aminoacyl-tRNA synthetases). tRNAs cope with the degeneracy of the genetic code in two manners: having more than one tRNA (with a specific anti-codon) for a particular amino acid; and 'wobble' base-pairing, i.e. permitting non-standard base-pairing at the 3rd anti-codon position. RNAcentral also lists the same sequence under 4 other names. The record is from RNAcentral.
UGGGGAGUCGUCCAAUGGUAAGACUCAGGAUUCUGGUUCCUGCUAUCGGGGUUCAAAUCCCUGCUCCCCAG